This 429-nucleotide ribosomal RNA is filed under the name bacterium. RNAcentral describes it as "partial 16S ribosomal RNA". It matches the Rfam family "Bacterial small subunit ribosomal RNA", at positions 355 to 776 of the family's 1533-position model. The record is from RNAcentral.
UAGGGAAUCUUCGGCAAUGGGGGCAACCCUGACCGAGCAACGCCGCGUGAGUGAAGAAGGUUUUCGGAUCGUAAAGCUCUGUUGUAAGAGAAGAACGUGUGUGAGAGUGGAAAGUUCACACAGUGACGGUAACUUACCAGAAAGGGACGGCUAACUACGUGCCAGCAGCCGCGGUAAUACGUAGGUCCCGAGCGUUGUCCGGAUUUAUUGGGCGUAAAGCGAGCGCAGGCGGUUUAAUAAGUCUGAAGUUAAAGUCAGUGGCUUAACCAUUGUUCGCUGUGGAAACUGUUAAGCUUGAGUGGAGAAGGGGAGAGUGGAAUUCCAUGUGUAGCGGUGAAAUGCGUAGAUAUAUGGAGGAACACCGGUGGCGAAAGCGGCUCUCUGGUCUGUAACUGACGCUGAGGCUCGAAAGCGUGGGGAGCAAACAGG